Molecule: long non-coding RNA, 224 nt
Filed under: Elaeis guineensis (African oil palm)
Lineage: Eukaryota; Viridiplantae; Streptophyta; Magnoliopsida; Arecales; Arecaceae
Description: long non-coding RNA (EGUI_LNC065761)
Source: RNAcentral
CAUCAUGUUGAUCGCCUCCUUACAAUUUGCACUCAUCAUGUUGAUCCCAAUAAAUUUUAUAGUCGGAUUUAAAGUCAUAAAAUUAAGGUGAUCAUUUACAUCUUGACGAGGUAGCCAAGGCCCACCUAUAUACUUCUUAUAAGGAUAUUGGAUAAGUCCAUAGUCUCUGAAUUUUUUUAUAGCAAAAUCAAGAAAUUUUUAAAAUCCAGCCUCAUAUUCUGACG